This is a transfer RNA of Blastocystis hominis, 74 nucleotides long. It matches the Rfam family "tRNA". Rfam says of the family: Transfer RNA (tRNA) molecules are approximately 80 nucleotides in length. Their secondary structure includes four short double-helical elements and three loops (D, anti-codon, and T loops). The record is from Rfam. NCBI's taxonomy places the organism in Eukaryota, Bigyra, Opalinata, Blastocystidae.
AUAUCUAUAACUCAGUUGGUUAGAGUAUACGCCUGAUAAGCGUAAAGUCAUUGGUUCAAGUCCAAUUAGAUAUA